GCCCGGCUAGCUCAAUCGGUAGAGCGUAAGACUCUUAGUACACCUCAGUACCUGGCAUCUUAAGGCUGCGAGUUCGAGCCUCGCGUUGGGCU
Molecule: non-coding RNA, 92 nt
Organism: Phyllosticta citribraziliensis
Lineage: Eukaryota; Fungi; Ascomycota; Dothideomycetes; Botryosphaeriales; Phyllostictaceae
Source: the annotation of a GenBank genome assembly